This 507-nucleotide ribosomal RNA is filed under the name Bacillus pumilus. RNAcentral describes it as "bacterial SSU rRNA". It matches the Rfam family "Bacterial small subunit ribosomal RNA", at positions 38 to 527 of the family's 1533-position model. Lineage: Bacteria; Bacillati; Bacillota; Bacilli; Caryophanales; Bacillaceae. The record is from RNAcentral.
GGCGGCGUGCCUAAUACAUGCAAGUCGAGCGGACAGAAGGGAGCUUGCUCCCUGAUGUUAGCGGCGGACGGGUGAGUAACACGUGGGUAACCUGCCUGUAAGACUGGGAUAACUCCGGGAAACCGGAGCUAAUACCGGAUAGUUCCUUGAACCGCAUGGUUCAAGGAUGAAAGACGGUUUCGGCUGUCACUUACAGAUGGACCCGCGGCGCAUUAGCUAGUUGGUGGGGUAAUGGCUCACCAAGGCGACGAUGCGUAGCCGACCUGAGAGGGUGAUCGGCCACACUGGGACUGAGACACGGCCCAGACUCCUACGGGAGGCAGCAGUAGGGAAUCUUCCGCAAUGGACGAAAGUCUGACGGAGCAACGCCGCGUGAGUGAUGAAGGUUUUCGGAUCGUAAAGCUCUGUUGUUAGGGAAGAACAAGUGCGAGAGUAACUGCUCGCACCUUGACGGUACCUAACCAGAAAGCCACGGCUAACUACGUGCCAGCCGCCGCGUUAAAUACA